AUUGAACGCUGGCGGAAUGCUUUACACAUGCAAGUCGAACGGCAGCACGGACUUCGGUCUGGUGGCGAGUGGCGAACGGGUGAGUAAUGUAUCGGAACGUGCCCAGUCGUGGGGGAUAACGUAGUGAAAAUUACGCUAAUACCGCAUACGAUCUAUGGAUGAAUGCGGGGGAUAGCAAGACCUCGCCCGAUUGGAGCGGCCGAUAUCAGAUUAGGUAGUUGGUGGGGUAAAGGCCCACCAAGCCAACGAUCUGUAGCUGGUCUGAGAGGACGACCGGCCACACUGGAACUGAGACACGGUCCAGACUCCUACGGGAGGCAGCAGUGGGGAAUUUUGGACAAUGGGCGAAAGCCUGAUCCAGCCAUUCCGCGUGCAGGAUGAAGGCCCUCGGGUUGUAAACUGCUUUUGUACAGAACGAAAAGGUUUCUACUAAUACUAGGAGCUCAUGACGGUACUGUAAGAAUAAGCACCGGCUAACUACGUGCCAGCAGCCGCCGUAA
RNAcentral lists this ribosomal RNA (500 nucleotides) under uncultured bacterium. Its description in RNAcentral is "partial 16S ribosomal RNA". It matches the Rfam family "Bacterial small subunit ribosomal RNA", at positions 30 to 523 of the family's 1533-position model. The record is from RNAcentral.